CCUACGGGAGGCAGCAGUGGGGGAUAUUGCACAAUGGGGGGAACCCUGAUGCAGCGACGCCGCGUGGGUGAAGAAGCGCCUCGGCGCGUAAAGCCCUGUCAGCAGGGAAGAAAAUGACGGUACCUGAAGAAGAAGCCCCGGCUAACUACGUGCCAGCAGCCGCGGUAAUACGUAGGGGGCAAGCGUGAUCCGGAUUUACUGGGUGUAAAGGGGGCGCAGACGGCGAUGCAAGCCAGGCGUGAAAGCCCGGGGCCCAACCCCGGGACUGCGCUUGGAACUGCGUGGCUGGAGGGCAGGCGGGGCAGGGGGAAGUCCUGGUGUAGCGGUGAAAUGCGUAGAUAUCAGGAGGAACACCGGUGGCGAAGGCGGCCUGCUGGACUGCAACUGACGUUGAGGCCCGAAAGCGUGGGGAGCAAACAGGAUUAGAUACCCUAGUAGUC
Molecule: ribosomal RNA, 440 nt
Filed under: uncultured bacterium
Lineage: Bacteria
Description: partial 16S ribosomal RNA
Rfam family: Bacterial small subunit ribosomal RNA
Source: RNAcentral